Molecule: ribosomal RNA, 545 nt
Filed under: uncultured cyanobacterium
Lineage: Bacteria; Bacillati; Cyanobacteriota
Also listed under: 1 other name
Description: bacterial SSU rRNA
Rfam family: Bacterial small subunit ribosomal RNA
Source: RNAcentral
UCUCUUACGAGAGGCAGCAGUGGGGAAUUUUCCACAAUGGGCGAAAGCCUGACGGAGCAAUACCGCGUGAGGGAGGAAGGCUCUUGGGUUGUAAACCUCUUUUCUCAGGGAAGAAUAAUGACGGUACCUGAGGAAUAAGCAUCGGCUAACUCCGUGCCAGCAGCCGCGGUAAUACGGAGGAUGCAAGCGUUAUCCGGAAUUAUUGGGCGUAAAGCGUCUGCAGGUGGAUAUUCAAGUCUGCUGUCAAAGACCGGGGCUUAACCCUGGAAAGGCAGUGGAAACUGAAGAUCUAGAGUGCGGUAGGGGCAGAGGGAAUUCCCAGUGUAGCGGUGAAAUGCGUAGAGAUUGGGAAGAACACCGGUGGCGAAAGCGCUCUGCUGGGCCUCCACUGACACUGAGGGACGAAAGCUAGGGGAGCGAAUGGGAUUAGAUACCCCAGUAGUCCUAGCCGUAAACGAUGGAUACUAGGCGUAGCUUGUAUCGACCCAAGCAGUGCCGUAGCUAACGCGUUAAGUAUACCCGCCUGGGGAUUCCCCCCCCGGUGU